CCUGAUGAUAAACCUUUAUCAUCUGAGUCCUCAUCUGAAUCAGAUUAUGAAGAGGAUGUGCAAGCAAAAAAGAAGAGAAGGUGUGAAGAGCGAGAACAAGCAAAGGAAAAAGUAAAGAAGAAGAAGAAGAAACAGCACAAGAAACAUAGUAAGAAGAAGAAAAAGAAGUCUGGAUCAAGUCACAAGUCAAGGUAACAUCAAGAAAAAAAGCAAGAAUGAGUUUGCCAAGUUUCCCUGUGUUAGUAGAAUUAUUUCUGGACUUUGAGUUGCCUAUCAAAUCCCACUGUGCCAGAAAGGGGCAUAGUGGCUGCUGGCAACUUCAAUAUACAUUUUUGUUUGUUUGCUUGUCCUUCCUUCCAAUGGUUAAUUCCUCUGAGAGCUAAAAUUCUGUUGUCAUACCAGUGAAUAAAAUGUUUGAAAUUAAAGUAAAAUGUGUUAGAUAAUGAAUAACUUUGACAAAAAAAGUGUAUCUAAGGUUAAAUGUAUCUAAUUCGAGUACAUCUUUGAAAUAUCACCAUAAAUGAAACAUAAAUGUAAUUUCCAGACAAUUGUAGUUGGUAUUUUUGAUGCGAGGACUUAAUAUUGAUGUCUCAAAUUCCUUGCUUUUGUAAAUAAGCUUAGUUCAUUUUCCUUUUUUCUUUAAUGAAUCUUUGUUUACAUGGGGAAAGAGCAUGUGGGGUGGGAAGGGCAAGUGUUUGCUAAUCACUGUGGCUAGCUGAAUAGUGUGCCUUUGACUCUUACACAUCCUAUUUUUGCCAGAGCAGCAGCCGUCCUUUUCUUACUUUAUGAAAUUCUGGGGUGUUGUAUGCUGCUUCAAGUGAACAAGAAGGACAGAAGUUUACAGCAUAAGUAAGCCCCCAUAUCUAUGAAAUUUACCUCUUCUUCAGCACUGUUUACUAUACAGUACUGAAUAAUAUUUAGUAUUACAAUGUUACAUGAUUUGAAAUAACUUUAUACCCAUUUUGUAUGGGAACCAUUCUAAACAGACCCUGAUGUUGUUUGAUUAAGAAAUAUUCUGAAAUUUUUUUUGCAUGUUUUAUACUGUUAAGUUUUAAUUAUCUGACCAUAUUCUAUAUAACCGAUGAUCCUUUUUUAAGAUAUGAUUUAUGCUUAGGAUAUAAGUUUCAAGUUUUUAGUUUCUUAACCUUGCUAUAUUAAUUUCAUUACUGUGUUUAAUUGCACCCUUGCCAAAAUAUUUAGCAUGUGAAAAGGUUUUUUUUAAAAAAUAUGUAAUGCCUUCAUAUUGAAGCUGGUUACUGUACGCAAGUUGAGUGCCAGACCUCUAGUACGCCGUGUGUUACAUGAAACUACUGCCAAAAUCUUAGUAAGAUUGUUGUUGAAAAGAUUGUUGUCUUAAGCAUUAAUAUUGAAUUUAUAUAGAAGUUAAAUGUAGGUGAUAAUGACAUCAUUGAUCUUCCUGUGUCCAUAUUUUCCUACAAUUUGGUGCCUUGUAUCUGUUGCUGAUUCACUUUUACCACUAGUGUAAAAAUAAGUGAAAAAAUAUUUUUACUUUACAUUUUUAUAUAUCAGAGUAACAUAAAUUAUAAAUUUGUGUCUCAAAAACCACCUGUGAUGGAGGAUGUGCUAAUUGUAAUAUCAUAGGUACAAAGUAUUUUGGCAUGAUGAAAGGCUCAAUAGCUAUUGUUUUUAAAUAGCAGAUUUUAUCUCAGCUACCUUCAAUCACAAGUAAAAUUAUAAAGAUAAAAAACAUCUACAUAAAUAACAUGUUGGCUGCCAAAUUUUUUGCAUUGGAAAUACUGGAAUCUCUCAUUAAAGUUCUUGGAACAUUAUAGUGAUGCCAUGUUAGAUUACCUUGGAGCUUCAUAACUUUAGCUUUUUCCUGAAAAUAUAUGUUUAUGCUGAUAAAAACAAUUACAUUUAUGGGAUAUUUUGUAUCCAUAUAGAGUUUUUCAGAAUCGUUCAUUAAAAUGCCUUUUAUAAGCUUAUAUUAUUUGUAGAAUAUGGCAAAAGCAUUUACAGCUCAUCAUAUAUCUAUCUGCUCCCGUUCACUUCCAAACCUCUUGUGGUUAGGCAAUGCCAUUUGACUACUUCAAGCAGAGGGAUUGUAAACAGAAGUGAUUUUCUAUUUCCAUGUUGGACUGUAAAAAGUUCUGCAUGACCCUCCAGUUUUCUUUUGCCUGUCAUGGUGACCUGAAAGCAAGAUGUUCCAAAUGGCGUACUUACAAGACGAAUGCAACCUCGGUCCUUAGGUCGCUGUUUAGAAGGGACCUGACUGGAGUGCUAAUGGACUUGCAGUAAACUUUUUAAGUGUAAGAAAUAAACUGUUAUGUGUUAAA
RNAcentral lists this long non-coding RNA (2297 nucleotides) under Pongo abelii (Sumatran orangutan). Its description in RNAcentral is "lncRNA (ENSPPYG00000041763.1)". The record is from RNAcentral. Lineage: Eukaryota; Metazoa; Chordata; Mammalia; Primates; Hominidae.